Molecule: transfer RNA, 84 nt
Filed under: Candidatus Kuenenbacteria bacterium RBG_16_41_7
Lineage: Bacteria; Candidatus Kueneniibacteriota
Also listed under: 3 other names
Description: tRNA-Leu
Rfam family: tRNA
About the family: Transfer RNA (tRNA) molecules are approximately 80 nucleotides in length. Their secondary structure includes four short double-helical elements and three loops (D, anti-codon, and T loops). Further hydrogen bonds mediate the characteristic L-shaped molecular structure. tRNAs have two regions of fundamental functional importance: the anti-codon, which is responsible for specific mRNA codon recognition, and the 3' end, to which the tRNAs corresponding amino acid is attached (by aminoacyl-tRNA synthetases). tRNAs cope with the degeneracy of the genetic code in two manners: having more than one tRNA (with a specific anti-codon) for a particular amino acid; and 'wobble' base-pairing, i.e. permitting non-standard base-pairing at the 3rd anti-codon position.
Source: RNAcentral
GCCGAAGUGGUGGAACUGGUAGACACGCAGCGUUCAGAGCGCUGUGGGCAUCAGCCCGUAGGAGUUCAACUCUCCUCUUCGGCA